This 73-nucleotide transfer RNA is filed under the name Candidatus Cloacimonadota bacterium. Its description in RNAcentral is "tRNA-Ile". It matches the Rfam family "tRNA". Rfam says of the family: Transfer RNA (tRNA) molecules are approximately 80 nucleotides in length. Their secondary structure includes four short double-helical elements and three loops (D, anti-codon, and T loops). Further hydrogen bonds mediate the characteristic L-shaped molecular structure. tRNAs have two regions of fundamental functional importance: the anti-codon, which is responsible for specific mRNA codon recognition, and the 3' end, to which the tRNAs corresponding amino acid is attached (by aminoacyl-tRNA synthetases). tRNAs cope with the degeneracy of the genetic code in two manners: having more than one tRNA (with a specific anti-codon) for a particular amino acid; and 'wobble' base-pairing, i.e. permitting non-standard base-pairing at the 3rd anti-codon position. Lineage: Bacteria; Pseudomonadati; Candidatus Cloacimonadota. RNAcentral also lists the same sequence under 2 other names. The record is from RNAcentral.
GGGCCCGUAGCUCAACGGUCAGAGCACACCGCUCAUAACGGUAGGGUUCGGGGUUCGAAUCCCCGCGGGCCCA